Molecule: ribosomal RNA, 503 nt
Filed under: uncultured bacterium
Lineage: Bacteria
Description: partial 16S ribosomal RNA
Rfam family: Bacterial small subunit ribosomal RNA
Source: RNAcentral
GAUGAACGCUAGCGACAGGCCUAACACAUGCAAGUCGAGGGGCAGCACAUGAGUAGCAAUACGAUGGUGGCGACCGGCGCACGGGUGAGUAACACGUAUGCAACCUGCCUGUAAGAGGGGAAUAACCCGGAGAAAUUCGGACUAAUACCGCAUAAUACCACGAGACUGCAUGGUUUUGUGGUUAAACAUUUAUGGCUUACAGAUGGGCAUGCGUAUGAUUAGAUAGUUGGUAGGGUAACGGCCUACCAAGUCUACGAUCAUUAGGGGUUCUGAGAGGAAGGUCCCCCACACUGGUACUGAGACACGGACCAGACUCCUACGGGAGGCAGCAGUGAGGAAUAUUGGUCAAUGGGCGAGAGCCUGAACCAGCCAAGUCGCGUGAAGGAAGAAGGUUCUAUGGAUUGUAAACUUCUUUUGCAGGGGAAUAAAGGACGGUACGUGUACUGUUUUGUAUGUACCUUGCGAAUAAGGAUCGGCUAACUCCGUGCCAGCCGCCGCGGUAA